This 749-nucleotide long non-coding RNA is filed under the name Manihot esculenta (cassava). RNAcentral's name for it is "long non-coding RNA (MESC_LNC003280)". The record is from RNAcentral. Lineage: Eukaryota; Viridiplantae; Streptophyta; Magnoliopsida; Malpighiales; Euphorbiaceae.
UCUUCUCCCAGUUCCUGCUUUCCUCGGUCAUUCGUGCACGCUGCUAUCUGCGUUCCCCUGUCUUUAUUUUCACGGUACGUUUCUUCUUUUACCAGGGAUAGCUCUAAUCUCUCGGAUGUCGUCAACCUAGAGUUUAGCAUCACCCCGUCUAACAUCUAAAACUUCAUUCCCAAGAAAUACCUGGAUAUCCCUUUUUUUACGUUAGUGCCCCUUGCCGGAAGGGGAGAAUCGUUCUCCUCGAUCCUCAUCCUUCUAGUUUAAUCGACCCUCAGAAAGAUGUGAGCUUGAUUUUGUCUUCCUUCGAAUCUGUUUGUCUGAGCUGGGGGUUCACACCCACGGCGCGUCUGUUCAUCACCUUCUUCAGGGGGGUCAAGAUGAGCCAAAAAUCUUAUUACUUUGUCCCUCGUGGAGGCCCAUUUUAAUCUCGCUUUUGUGAUUUUCGCCGAGAAGUCUUCUAACUUGCCCCGAUUUUGGAUUUUUUGCAGCUUCUGAAAUGAAAAUGGAUCAGAUUAAGCCCUCUAAGAAUUUCGUGCUCUCCUGGUAAAAUAUGAAUACUGCCUCGGGCGCCUUCCUAGCGGGGCGAUCGAGGGGGGAGACUUCCCAACAAGUGGCCGAAGUAAGAUCGUCCAAGUCGUCUUUCCGGCCUCCUUCCCCUGCUCCUGCCCGAGCUCCGAAGCCGGGCCCUCGAGAUGCUAAAUCUUCAAGGUCGUCAAGCUGCAGCAAGUCGGGCUCGGCCACUCAAGCUGUUC